AUACUGCCGGAACUGUGGCUAAUGGUGCGGACCACCCUGCUCACUGUUAGCAAAGUGGGUAGCUACCCUCUCUUCUGGAAGCCCCUCUGCAGCACUCCUCUUGGGAGUAGAAAAGGAAGUGGUCAAGACCUACAUUUGGGAGCUGAUCCGUCUUGCUCUCAGUUAGGGCCCAGCCCUUCUGUGGGGACCAGGAAAAUCUUUGCUCACCUGGAGAAGCUGCUGGUUCAGCCCAACUUUAUCUAACGCCAAAGCCUCAUUUAAGGCACUGAGCUUGACAGCUGCAGCCCGAAGAUCAGCUACUUCUGUCUUCAGGGUGUUUUCAGAACUCGACAGCUCUGCAAUUGACUGCUCUGCCUAAAAAACAAAAAGGAUUAAAGAGUUUCAUAUUUCCAAUUUUCCUGGAACAGUAAACAGUUCACAUUCCCAACACUGCUGCUUUUUGGUACAAGGAACUGGGGCACAGGAGAGGAGGGAAAUACAGCAAAGAUGAAGAUAUAUCCCU
Molecule: long non-coding RNA, 502 nt
Filed under: Homo sapiens (human)
Lineage: Eukaryota; Metazoa; Chordata; Mammalia; Primates; Hominidae
Description: HSALNT0400789
Source: RNAcentral